Lytechinus pictus (painted urchin) is the source of this 2175-nucleotide long non-coding RNA. RefSeq lists it as uncharacterized. NCBI's taxonomy places the organism in Eukaryota, Metazoa, Echinodermata, Echinoidea, Temnopleuroida, Toxopneustidae. The record is from RefSeq and is a predicted model, not a curated record. The transcript has 3 exons.
GGGUACGUAUACCAUACAGAGAAGACAUAAUUUGUUGACAUUUUAUUCAACAAACAUUUCAUCUCUAAAAAAACAUUAUAUGGCUUAGCUUAUAGGCUCUCAUGGAGGCAAAAAAUUGUGCCUCUAUCUUUUUUUCUUAACAUGACCCUAUGUUUACAUGUCCUUUUCAAAUGAUAAAAAAUUAUUAUUUCAAGCUCUUGAAGGAAUUUCUAGAUGAUCACUUUUCUCUACAACUAAGCAAAAACAUUUCAAUUGGGAGAAUUUCUAUUUGUGCAUUAUAAAAAUGGGACCCUGAUCAGCAAGCCUGCCAGUUACAAUGUAAAUGUAAGAAAUUGCUGAUUGGGCACUGGCCUUUCCCUAGUUGCUUUUGCAAUUCUUCCUUUAAACCUUUAUUAUUAUUAUUAUUUGCUAACAAAAUUUAUAUGGAAUUUCUUGCAUGACAGAUAACCAACAUGGAGGAAGCCCUUAUCCUAGAAGUGUAGGAAAAUCCAAUCCUGUAUGACAAGAGAUUGGAGAUGUUCAAGGAUACAGAAGUAAAAAAUGAUGUAUGACAUGACAUUGGGCGUCAGUUUGUAAUCUCAGGUGACGUAGCGAGUUGAGGGACAACUUCCUAAAAAAACGACAGAAAAUGGAGAGGAAGAGUGGUGACGGAGCUCCCUCAAAUGCAGCACGUAAAUACAAGUACAGUGAGGCAAUGGAAUUCCUACUUCCCCACAUACAUAAUCGAGAAACAAGUUCAAUCUUGGAUCCUGUGUUUGAUGUGGACACACCAGGAGAAGCCUGUACCAAACAGGAAGAAACUGAGCAGGAGAAUGGUGACAUCUGUCCACAAUGUGGGUCAGGCUUCAUCGUCAUCGUCCUCAGGCACGUCCGCAACAGUCCAGUCUUCAAGUCCCAAAUUCACUUUAAAUCGAGGAGACAAUGUUGCAGUAUUUUCAAAGCAGCGAUAGUCAUGGUGACAACAUAACUGUAGAUCCAUUUUUCUCCAGCUUGUCCCCCAUUGUCCCACACUAUAAAAGUUACCUCAAUGCCAGCUCCAUUGCAAUGAGGUUAAAUUUUGGUCUUCUGAAUAUUGAACAUACUACUAUAGGAAUUAAAGGUUCUGUGUCAUCUAAAUCCAAGUCGAUUCUUAUUGAUGUGAUAAACGUCUCACAUGUUACAAUUUAAGAAUCCAAAUAUGUUUCGUAGAUUAAAAAAAAAGUUAACAGAAAAUGUUCUAACUUGCUAUGCUCCACCGCUAAAAAGAGAGCUGAUAUCUUAUUCCCUCUGACAUCACUCAAUAUUCAUCCGAUUGUUAGCUAACAAAGGGACAGUGGUUUGUAGUUUGCCAGAGCUAACAACCUGUUAACAGUCUCAACAUAAAAGAUGCAAUGUCAGACAUGCAGCAUCACCAACAAAUGGAAAGCAGUGUAUAUAUGAUUACAUCUGAAUGACUUCUGAUAAAUCCAUAUGAAAUAAAUCAUUUGCAGGAAAUCUACAACUUUAAUGACUGAUAUUGUAUUAUAAACAACUACACCAUAAAAUGUGCUAUUCUUAUUUCCACUUGAAUUUUUCACUUUAACGUCUCCCAUUGUUACUUUUGCAAGUUGGUCUCAAUUUGCAGAAAUUAUGAUUGUAAAGGAUUAUGAUCUUCCUCUUUCGUAGAUCUGGGAAAUAUUGGCAGAACAUGUUCACCAUUUAUUAAAAAUAUAUUUAUUUCUUAAAUUAUACUUGAAUUCAAAAUCAGGAUUUGUUCACAGAUGAACAUUUUGCACAUCACAGAAAUUUGGUUCAUGCAAAUAUAAACAUGAUUACUAGUAAUGCACUAUCAAAUAUCAACACAUGAAACCAGUUACUGUAAAAAUAAAAAUGAUGGGUACUGGACGGAACGUGGUACAGGUAAUUUCUGGACUAAUGUUUUAUUUUGGAAAUAGAUCUAGGAUUGUUUGAAAUAUGACAAAAUGUUACCAACUAAAUUUUAUCUCUAAACAGAAUGGCAAUGACACUCCUGAGGCCUGUUUCAUAGAGAGGUAUAACUAUCACAACUCUAAUUGUCUUUAAUAUGGCAACUACCAUGGUAAUAUGGCGCAACAUCCAAUUAUAAUUGUGGUUUCCAUGGUAGUUGCCAUAAUGUUAAAGUACUUUUGAAAUGGGCCCCUGGACAUGAAGAAUACUGACAAAAGAAAGUUGAUGGUG